CCGACUUUAGCUCAGUUGGUAGAGCGGAGGACUGUAGAUCCUUAGGUCGCUGGUUCGAAUCCGGCAAGUCGGA
Rhododendron molle is the source of this 73-nucleotide non-coding RNA. The record is from the annotation of a GenBank genome assembly. NCBI's taxonomy places the organism in Eukaryota, Viridiplantae, Streptophyta, Magnoliopsida, Ericales, Ericaceae.